AGCUCAAAGAGAGGAGAAUAAUGUAGAAGUGGGGAAAAAGAGAGUAGAUGGAACAAGGAAGAAAGAGGGAGGGAGGAAAGCUAGUAUUACUGACCUAUAAUCUUUCGUUUUUCCAGAGGUUUUAGGGUGCUCUUAAUCGAGUGUCCUGGGAUGCUGGCAGGUUUACUUUGAAAAAAUUAGAGUGCUCAAAGCAGGCUGUUACGCCUGAAUAUUCGUGCAUGGAAUAAUAGAAUAGGAAGUCGUUUCUAUUUUGUUGGUUUUCGGAAAUCGACUUAAUGAUUAAUAGGGACAGUCGGGGGCAUUUGUAUUCAAACGACAGAGGUGAAAUUCUUGGACCGUUUGAAGACAAACUACUGCGAAAGCAUUUGCCAAGAAUGUUUUCA
This 383-nucleotide ribosomal RNA is filed under the name marine copepod environmental sample. RNAcentral describes it as "SSU rRNA". It matches the Rfam family "Eukaryotic small subunit ribosomal RNA", at positions 587 to 972 of the family's 1831-position model. The record is from RNAcentral. Lineage: Eukaryota; Metazoa; Arthropoda; Copepoda.